RNAcentral lists this unclassified non-coding RNA (243 nucleotides) under Hevea brasiliensis (rubber tree). Lineage: Eukaryota; Viridiplantae; Streptophyta; Magnoliopsida; Malpighiales; Euphorbiaceae. The record is from RNAcentral.
UGCCACCAUAGCCGUGCCCCAAAAGAAAAAAGGCGACACCAAAACUCCCGUCUCCACCAUCAUUUCCAAUAAAUCACUUUUCGAUUCAUCUCCUCCUCCCUCUUCCACCGCCAACUUUGUACCAUUAGUUUCAGAGGAGGGAGAAGAAGAGACAAGGCACUCCACAUCUAGGCCUGUCCCUACGCAAUCAAAGUCCAUCGAUGACGAAGAAUCAGCAUUAGAAUCUGAUGAUUUUGAUUCCAA